Cyprinodon variegatus (sheepshead minnow) is the source of this 93-nucleotide small nucleolar RNA. Its record names the gene SNORD14. It matches the Rfam family "Small nucleolar RNA SNORD14". From Rfam's summary of the family: U14 small nucleolar RNA (U14 snoRNA) is required for early cleavages of eukaryotic precursor rRNAs. In yeasts, this molecule possess a stem-loop region (known as the Y-domain) which is essential for function. A similar structure, but with a different consensus sequence, is found in plants, but is absent in vertebrates. NCBI's taxonomy places the organism in Eukaryota, Metazoa, Chordata, Actinopteri, Cyprinodontiformes, Cyprinodontidae. The record is from Ensembl.
ACGCUGUGAUGACGACUACUUUAUCCAUUCGCAGUUUCCACCAGAGGUCUAACGACCAAAGAUGGUUCAAAUCUUCCUUGGAUGUCUGAGCGU